Molecule: long non-coding RNA, 432 nt
Organism: Patella vulgata (common limpet)
Lineage: Eukaryota; Metazoa; Mollusca; Gastropoda; Patellidae
Exons: 4
Source: RefSeq, a predicted model, not a curated record
AGAGAUAUAUACCAAGCUCAGAUUCGGAUAGGGGGUCAGCUUUUCACAAAUGUACAGAUAACACUUAAUCAAGCUGGAAGUUCCAUUAAUCCUAAUGUCUAUUUUAGUAUUCAGAGUAUAAACAAUGGCAUAUAUAUUCGUCUAAUUAGGACAAUUGACAGAGAUGGACCACCAGCUAUAAAUUCCUAUGACUUCCAGUUGCAGUGUGUUAGUGGAACUUCAGGGUCUGUAAGGACGUAUGACCUGACUGUCAACAUACUGGAUGCCAAUGAUAACGCCCCAGCAUACUCAGGAUUACCAUAUGGAACCAGUCUCAACGAGAUGGCACCAGUAGGAACAACAGUAUUUCGUAACAUCCAGGCCACUGAUAUCGAUCUCGGGGUCAACCAGGAUAUAUUGUAUGCUAUUGUUCCAUCGGGAACAGGAGAUUUG